AUGAACGCUGGCGGCGUGCCUAAUACAUGCAAGUCGAGCGAACAGACGAGGAGCUUGCUCCUCUGACGUUAGCGGCGGACGGGUGAGUAACACGUGGAUAACCUACCUAUAAGACUGGGAUAACUUCGGGAAACCGGAGCUAAUACCGGAUAAUAUAUUGAACCGCAUGGUUCAAUAGUGAAAGACGGUUUUGCUGUCACUUAUAGAUGGAUCCGCGCCGCAUUAGCUAGUUGGUAAGGUAACGGCUUACCAAGGCAACGAUGCGUAGCCGACCUGAGAGGGUGAUCGGCCACACUGGAACUGAGACACGGUUCAGACUCCUACGGGAGGCAGCAGUAGGGAAUCUUCCGCAAAGGGCGAAAGCCUGACGGAGCAACGCCGCGUGAGUGAUGAAGGUCUUCGGAUCGUAAAACUCUGUUAUUAGGGAAGAACAAAUGUGUAAGUAACUAUGCACGUCUUGACGGUACCUAAUCAGAAAGCCACGGCUAACUACGUG
RNAcentral lists this ribosomal RNA (496 nucleotides) under uncultured bacterium. RNAcentral's name for it is "partial 16S ribosomal RNA". It matches the Rfam family "Bacterial small subunit ribosomal RNA", at positions 29 to 507 of the family's 1533-position model. The record is from RNAcentral.